This 464-nucleotide ribosomal RNA is filed under the name uncultured bacterium. RNAcentral's name for it is "bacterial SSU rRNA". It matches the Rfam family "Bacterial small subunit ribosomal RNA", at positions 917 to 1382 of the family's 1533-position model. The record is from RNAcentral.
GGGCCCGCACAAGCAGCGGAGCAUGUGGUUUAAUUCGAAGCAACGCGAAGAACCUUACCUAGACUUGACAUCUCCUGAAUUACUCUGUAAUGGAGGAAGUCGCUUCGGCGACAGGAAGACAGGUGGUGCAUGGUUGUCGUCAGCUCGUGUCGUGAGAUGUUGGGUUAAGUCCCGCAACGAGCGCAACCCUUAUUGUUAGUUGCUACCAUUUAGUUGAGCACUCUAGCGAGACUGCCCGGGUUAACCGGGAGGAAGGUGGGGAUGACGUCAAAUCAUCAUGCCCCUUAUGUCUAGGGCUACACACGUGCUACAAUGGUCGGUACAGAGAGAUGCUAAACCGUGAGGUGGAGCCAAACUUUAAAACCGAUCUCAGUUCGGAUUGUAGGCUGAAACUCGCCUACAUGAAGCUGGAGUUGCUAGUAAUCGCGAAUCAGAAUGUCGCGGUGAAUACGUUCCCGGGCCUU